CCCUACGGGGGGCAGCAGUGGGGAAUAUUGGGCAAUGGGCGCAAGCCUGACCCAGCGACGCCGCGUGAGGGAAGACGGUCUUCGGAUUGUAAACCUCUUUCAGCAGGGAAGACAAAAGGACGGUACCUGCAGAAGAAGCCACGGCUAACUACGUGCCAGCAGCCGCGGUAAUACGUAGGUGGCAAGCGUUAUCCGGAUUACUGGGUGUAAAGGGUGUGUAGGCGGGGCUGCAAGCCAGGAGUGAAAGCCCGGGGCCCAACCCCGGGACUGCUCUUGGAACUGCAUGGCUGGA
RNAcentral lists this ribosomal RNA (292 nucleotides) under uncultured bacterium. RNAcentral describes it as "partial 16S ribosomal RNA". It matches the Rfam family "Bacterial small subunit ribosomal RNA", at positions 337 to 645 of the family's 1533-position model. The record is from RNAcentral.